GCAACGCGAAGAACCUUACCUGGGCUUGACAUGUACGUAGUAGUGAAGGGAAACCGGAACGAGCCUUCGGGCAGCGUAGACAGGUGCUGCAUGGCUGUCGUCAGCUCGUGUCGUGAGAUGUUGGGUUAAGUCCCGCAACGAGCGCAACCCGUGUUGCUAGUUACAAGUGUCUAGCGAGACUGCCGGUAACAAGCCGGAGGAAGGUGCGGAUGAUGUCAAGUCAGCAUGGCCUAUAUAUCCAGGGCUACACACACGCUACAAUGGCUGGUACAAAGAGAAGCGAAAGGGAGACCUGAAGCGAAUCUCAUCAAAGCCAGUCAUAGUUCGGAUUGCAGGCUGCAACUCGCCUGCAUGAAGUCGGAGUUGCUAGUAACCGCAGGUCAGCAAUACUGCGGUGAAUACGUUCCCGGGCCUUGUACACAC
RNAcentral lists this ribosomal RNA (423 nucleotides) under uncultured bacterium. RNAcentral's name for it is "bacterial SSU rRNA". It matches the Rfam family "Bacterial small subunit ribosomal RNA", at positions 956 to 1390 of the family's 1533-position model. The record is from RNAcentral.